Molecule: ribosomal RNA, 776 nt
Filed under: uncultured Neocallimastigales
Lineage: Eukaryota; Fungi; Neocallimastigomycota; Neocallimastigomycetes; Neocallimastigales
Description: partial large subunit ribosomal RNA
Rfam family: Eukaryotic large subunit ribosomal RNA
Source: RNAcentral
UCAGACGAUGCGUCAUGCAUAUCAAUAAGCGGAGGAAAAGAAACUAACAAGGAUUCCCCUAGUAACGGCGAGUGAAGCGGGAAGAGCUCAAAUUUGAAAUCUUAAAGGGUUUCCCUUUACGAAUUGUAGUUUAAAGAAGUGUUUUCUGUUGAGGUUUUGGUAAAAGUUCUUUGGAAUAGGACAUCAUAGAGGGUGAGAAUCCCGUAUUUGACCUUUACUUUCAACUUUGUGAUACACUUUCAAAGAGUCGGAUUGUUUGGGAAUGCAAAUCCAAAAUGGGUGGUAAAUUUCAUCUAAAGCUAAAUAUUGGCGAGAGACCGAUAGCGAACAAGUACCGUGAGGGAAAGAUGAAAAGAACUUUGAAAAGAGAGUUAAACAGUACGUGAAAUUGUCAAAAGGGAAGCGUUUGACACCAGUGUUGUUUUUCUGAAAAUCAAUUAAAGAACUGUUUAUGCUAAGCUGUUUAGACUUUAUCAGCUAAUCUGUUUAGUUUUGAGCUUUUCUUUAAUGCACUUUUCAGUUAACAAGUCAACAUCAAUUUCUUUUGCUGUAAAAAAGCUUGAGGAAGGUGGCUUGAGAUUCGUCUUAAGUGUUUAUAGCCUCUUGCCUAUGCAGUCGGAGAGAUUGAGGUCUGCAGCGUAGAUCCUUCGGGGCUAAAUGCAUUUGUGCUAAGUUAUAGCAUUUUAUAGACAACUUGUUGACUAUGAUUUGUCUUGUAGCUUACUCGCUUAUGUUAUUUUACCUACGCUUAGGAUGUUGACACACGCGCGUGCUCG